UACGAAGGGGGCUAGCGUUGUUCGGAAUUACUGGGCGUAAAGGGCGCGUAGGCGGCCAGCACAAGUCAGUUGUGAAAUCUCCGAGCUUAACUCGGAAAGGUCAACUGAUACUGUGCGGCUAGAGUGCGGAAGGGGCAACUGGAAUUCUUGGUGUAGCGGUGAAAUGCGUAGAUAUCAAGAGGAACACCUGCGGCGAAGGCGGGUUGCUGGGCUGAUACUGACGCUGAGGCGCGAAAGCCAGGGGAGCGAACGGG
This 254-nucleotide ribosomal RNA is filed under the name uncultured bacterium. RNAcentral's name for it is "partial 16S ribosomal RNA". It matches the Rfam family "Bacterial small subunit ribosomal RNA", at positions 524 to 776 of the family's 1533-position model. The record is from RNAcentral.